Molecule: long non-coding RNA, 683 nt
Organism: Hyaena hyaena (striped hyena)
Lineage: Eukaryota; Metazoa; Chordata; Mammalia; Carnivora; Hyaenidae
Exons: 7
Source: RefSeq, a predicted model, not a curated record
CUGGAGGCCAAGAAAACACAUAUCUCAGACUCCAUUCCCCUGCAGAGCUCUGAUUUAUAUUGUACCAAAGAGAGGCUUUUGCACAAGAUUUAGGAGAAGCAACUAUCAUAAUGAUAAAUUGAAGAGAUCUGAAUUCAGCUGUGAACAAGAGAAACUGGACUUUCCUUAAAACAUAUGCAACUCUUCAGGACACUCUGGCUUGGUGCUUGCCUGCUUAUCAGACCCCAACAACCAGUGCAAAGACAAGUACAGUUUUCUGAGUGUUGUUGAUUGCAAACCUGGAUUCAUUGAAGGCAAACUUUCCAAAGGUUUGCUGUCUGGGAUGCUGUUGGAAAUCGGGUUUUGGAAUAUGACCAGGAAUGGAUCUGCAACAGAUUAGUGUUGAGAUGGCUGAGACGGGAAAAUGUCACCAUUCCCAGGUUGAGAGAAUCAAGAAACAACACUUGGAAGGAAGACCUUCUAAACUAAAAACUGAAAAGUGGGAAGGCAUCAGCCUGAGGACGCAGCACAUGAGUAUAAUGAAAGGCCCCUGCCCUAAACUGAAGUAAUGAGAAAGAAAUUGUGGAAUUCCAGCAAGCAGCGGAGAGGAGUCAGGAAGGCCCCCUCCCAUGUAAGGAUACUGUGAAAAGGUGACCACCUGCAAGCCUAGAAGAGGGCCCUCAUCAAGACCUGAACCUGCUGGC